CAAAGUAUUAAUAAUUGACAACUUUGGGAAAAAGCGGUGGUGUUACAGUACUUGCGGAGAAAUCAUUACCAGGGACAGCGCCUAUUUAGCUAGUGGAGUGACGUGCUAGGACGAUUUUUUGGUAGCUGUCUAGUUCCCAUUUCUGCCAGAGCUUUUUGUUUUUCUUCAUCCGCCACUGAAACAAAAUGUCUCAACGGUUCAUAACUGAUUUUAUAAGGGUAAUUGAUUGCCUGGUUAUUUGAUUAAUUAUUUAAUGUCAUAUGAAUUCUAAUGUAGCGAAAGGCCAUUCCAUUCCAACCAUUAUGACUUAGUUACUUCAGAACAUUGGUAGGUCCGCGAUAGCAACGGAAGUCGACAACUCAGACAACUCAAAAUGAGCCGCUAUGACCAGUAACCUGUAAACGGAUCCUACUCUCCUAGAUCGACAGACAAAUUUACAAUUUGCAAAUUCAAGUCCGCCACACACGGCCAUGUCUAAACACGUCAAGCCUCUCAUCCCAAACGGCCUGAUAACCAUUCUGUCAGGCUUCAGUCGAGCCUACCUAAGGAAGAGGCCAACUGACCUAGGGCUAUUUGCCAUGUACUACUGUAUGGAACUGCGGAAAUACAGAGAUGAAAUAGCAACCUAUUCACCAAACAAGCUGGUGAAAGAUUUUCAUAAACAUAGAGGUAAGUCCAGAGAUGAUGCACCCUGUAUUUCUAUAGUCGUUAAUGCAAACAAAACAUAUACUUUUGCAGUCACAUUCCCAAACAUUUCUCCCCCCCCCCCAGCCGAGAGACUCUGUGACAAUGCCUAUGAAGAGGAACUGUUGAAGUAUGGAUACAAAGUGACCUCUAAGGAGGAUGUGACGUUUAAUGCCCUGGAGAUCACCUCUCAGGACCUGCAAAUACUAGGCAGUAGUGAGAGACAGAUCAACAGACGGUACUCAACCACCACUAGCCCAUGUGGAGAACAAGUGAACAAUAUUACAGCUCCAUCCGCCAUGGACCUGCAGGUGAACCAAACCCUGGGGUCUGCAGCUAUGGAGCUAGGGGCACUGGUUGGCAACAUUGUACCCACAACAUCAUCAAGCCCUUUUCAACCAACCAACAAUAACGCCAACACCCAACACGUGGCACAUGCAUCCUCCCAGGCAGUAGCAGGUCUGGCAUCCACUGAGAACAAGACUGGUGAAGUUGCUUCACCAGUCCAACCUGGCUCAGCAGAGAUAUUGGCCAGCAGCAGCUGCGAGGCCAGUAUUUCUGGACAGGCCUGUGUUCCCCAGCAUUACACACCCACCAGCCAGGAGGGGGGGUAUGCCUGUGCCGUCAUGCCCACAGAGAUACCCUGCUACCCCAGAUUUCCCCAGAAUUACCCGACAUACCCUCCACCACCACCCUACCUCCCAGGCUUUCAUCCUUAUUAUUUGGACCUCAUGUCUGGCCAAUAUGUCCAGCCGUCCUGCAGAUGCCAGCGAUAUGGCAGAGUGGUAUAUCGUCCCCCUGGUCAGCCAGUGCUGCCCCAGUGCCACCAUGCCGCUCCACUGCCAGUGCCGCAGUGCACUCACCAGCACCUCAGCCCUUCUGCAAGCUGCAUUCAAGUGGCUCCAACCAUGGGGCCCUAUGGAUUGCAGAGCACUUUCUCACGGUGCAUCCCUGUGCCUGUCCUCGCCAACCACUUUGGCUCUCUUUACUACAGGCCCAAGCAGAGACCCAGGAUGGCCACAGGUGUGCCUGGCUGCAGGAGCGAGUGCCUACCCACAUCCAGACGGCUCAACUGCACUUCCUGCAACGUGAGUGACAGCUCUAGCUAUGGGCCAGAGCCCGCCGCCCAGGCCUCCUAUCAUGGAGGACAUCGAGGACAGUGUGGGGGUGAUGCCAUCCAUGGACCAGUCCCUGCCGGUGUACUAAGGUCCCUGUAUGCCCCUGUGCCGUGCCCCAUUGGACUGCAGAGAAGGGAUGCCCCGGCUCAGCGACCAUGCAGCGCCCCGACUAGGAGGGUUGUUCCAUUGACCACGCAGAACCAGAAUAGCCCGUUCCCAUCCUCAUAAGGGACAGGUUUGGAACAAGUUAUUCUGUGAAUGGAUAGCUGCAAAUGAUUUGAUUGAAUUUAAUCUUAUUAAGUCUUCAGUUUGAUACAAUUUUGCCUUGAAGCUUUUGUUAAUUGGUAGUAUAAUUAAACUAGUGGAAAGUUUUCGUCAUGGAUAUAUGAAUUUGUAGACACAGAAUAUUGUUAAUCAGAAUAAAGAUUUCUCAGGUGGCUAAAUUGCUGUUAUUUUUCUCUUUACAGAAUGCCCAGACAGACUGAACGCAAAGUCCUACAACUUUAUCAUCGAUUUUUAUGAUCAAUAAAGUAUUUUGCAGAUUCGUUUUUAAUUAUCAUUAUUGUAAGAUUCAAAAGGCACUCGCACAUCUGAGCAAUCUUGUUGCAGGUGCAUGGCAACAGUUGAAACAGGAUGAAGGAAAAAAGGAAACCGCACACUGCUCUUGAUAGUAUCACUGAUAUUUAAUAUGCCGAUACGUAAGCUUAUUAAAUAUCAGUG
Molecule: long non-coding RNA, 2522 nt
Filed under: Salmo trutta (river trout)
Lineage: Eukaryota; Metazoa; Chordata; Actinopteri; Salmoniformes; Salmonidae
Description: lncRNA (ENSSTUG00000048592.1)
Source: RNAcentral